GAUGAAGAACGUAGCGAAAUGCGAUAAGUAAUGUGAAUUGCAGAAUUCAGUGAAUCAUCGAAUCUUUGAACGCACCUUGCGCCCUUUGGCCAUUCCGAAGGGCAUGCCUGUUUGAGUAUCAUGAACACCUCAACUCUUUAUGGUUUUCCAUGAUGAGCUUGGACUCUGGGGGUUUUGCUGGCUCACAGUCGGCUCCUCUGAAAUGAAUCAGCUUACCAGUGUUUGGUGGGUAUCAUAGGUGUGAUAGCUAUCUACGCUUGUGGUUUUUCCACCAGGUAACCUUCAGCAGUGGAGGUUCGCUGGAGCUCAUAGAUGUCUCUCCUCAGUGAGGACAGCCCUUUGAAUGUUUGAUCUCAAAUCAGGUAGGACUACCCGCUGAACUUAAGCAUAUCAAUAAGCGGAGGA
This 405-nucleotide unclassified non-coding RNA is filed under the name soil metagenome. Its description in RNAcentral is "partial contains 5.8S ribosomal RNA, internal transcribed spacer 2, and large subunit ribosomal RNA". The stretch from base 1 to 121 matches the Rfam family "5.8S ribosomal RNA", at positions 35 to 154 of the family's 154-position model. The record is from RNAcentral.